Molecule: RNA transcript, 1682 nt
Organism: Capsella rubella
Lineage: Eukaryota; Viridiplantae; Streptophyta; Magnoliopsida; Brassicales; Brassicaceae
Gene name: basic leucine zipper 19
Exons: 3
Source: RefSeq, a predicted model, not a curated record
GAAUCUGUGCAACUCGAAAUCGUUAUCGUACGUCCAUGUCUUUUCUCCGGCCACCGAGACGAUGCCAUCUGUUUUGUGCGUCUUUAUAAACCAACGCCUUCGUGCUUCUUCGUUUCACUUUCACCCUUACCUCUAAUAUAAACUCAUCUCCCCCUUUUCAUCACUCUUCUAAAAAAUUCGAUCUUUAGGGUUUUGCUUUGAUCCCCGCUUACGGGUUUCACAAUCUCGACCUCUAGAGAUUGUAAAGGUACGGAUUUUGUCCUCAAUUAGAGGAUCGGGUCUUUGAAUAUAGCAGAAAUUGGGUAUCUUCGGUUGCUGAAUUCCUCGGAUUGCUGUGAAAUUAGGGAUUUUGAUAGGUUCAGGAGCUCGAGAUUUGACUAGUUUCAGGUUGAGUUUUCGGUAGUUUAUAUCUUACAAAGUAUCGAUUUUUUUUGGUUUGGUGAGGUCAAUUUGAAGAGUAAGGUUGAUCUGUUUGUGGUUGGUGGGGUUAAGUAAUGGAAGACGGCGAGCUUGAGUUCUCGAACCAGGAAGUGUUUUCGAGUUCGGAGAUGGGUGAGUUACCGCCUAGCAACUGUUCGAUGGAUAGUUUCUUUGAUGGGCUUUUGAUGGAUACUAAUGCUGCUUGUACCCACACUCACACCUGUAACCCUACGGGACCAGAGAAUACUCAUACUCACACCUGUUUCCAUGUCCACACCAAGAUUCUUCCUGAUGAUAGCGAUGAAAAAGUUUCUACUGAUGAUACAGCUGAGUCUUGCGGGAAGAAGGGUGAAAAGAGACCUUUGGGAAACCGAGAAGCGGUUAGAAAGUAUAGAGAGAAGAAGAAGGCUAAAGCUGCUUCUUUGGAAGACGAGGUCUCAAGACUUAGGGCGGUGAAUCAGCAGCUGGUGAAGAGGUUGCAAAAUCAGGCUACCUUGGAAGCUGAGGUCUCGAGGCUCAAGUGUUUGCUUGUGGAUUUAAGAGGAAGAAUAGACGGGGAGAUUGGAUCUUUUCCUUACCAGAAGCCAAAUAUUCCCUCUUUCUCCCACAUGAUGAAUCCGUGUAAUGUACAAUGCGAUGAUGAAGUUUAUUGCCCUCAGAAUGGGUUUGGAGGAAAUACCCAAGAAGUGGCAUCAAUCAAUGACCAAGGGUUGAGUGGUUGUGAUUUUGAUCAGCUACAAUGCAUGGCUAAUCAGAACUUAGGUGGGAAUGCAAACGGAUCAUUCAACAAUUCCAAUGCAUCUGUCUCGAAUAAGAGAAAAGGUGGGCAUCGUGCAUCAAGAGCUGUUUGAAGUAUCAUCGAGCUUGUACCAUCUAUUUUCAACCAGCAUAGAUAUUGUAUUCCAAAUAAGUUGUAGAGUUCAGCUGCAGCAUCAGCUCCGCUCAGCUUUAAGGAGUUGGUGGGGAGUGUCUUUGUGGCCGGAGUGAGAUCUCUGGACAGCUGAGUUAUAAAAGAUUGACUUCCUGCGAUCUCCUACCUUAUAUGCUUUAGAAAUAACAACUAUACUUGAGGAUUCAUGAAUCUUAUUAGAAAGUACCCAGAUUUGGUAGUAUAGGCAGGAUUCCGACUUCCCAUUAUGCAUCAUGUUGUUUAGUGAAGAACUAGGUAUGCCCAUGAAGCACAAUGUUUUGUACUUAGAGCUUGAGAAUCUCUCUCAGUGUCUCUGUUAUAGUCUUACUGUAACAUUGCUAUGUUUUUACAA